Molecule: long non-coding RNA, 2729 nt
Organism: Ictidomys tridecemlineatus (thirteen-lined ground squirrel)
Lineage: Eukaryota; Metazoa; Chordata; Mammalia; Rodentia; Sciuridae
Source: RefSeq, a predicted model, not a curated record
GGUCUCUGUCUCCUGGGGUCUCUCAGGGAUUGUGUCUCGUGGCAGAAGAGAUCUGACAGACAAAUCAAGUUACCAAUCAGCUGACUUUUAAGUCAUGGAGAUCACCCCAAGGGCUGAACCUGACCAUAUUUUCUCCUUCUGUGCUGAGGGAGCUCUCUAGCUGGUCACAGAGGAGAAGGCGCAGAGAUCUCAAGGGUGAGAAGAGUAUGAUGCCAGAAGUUCUCCAGCAACCACUGGGAGCUGAGGGCGGUUGCUGGCCAGCAGCCAGUGAGACAGAAAGAAGAGCGUCAGGGACUCUAGUCCUAUGUCCCUGAGGAAUUGAGUUCUGCCAACAACCUGUGAGCUGGCAAGAGGCCUCCAAGCCCCAGAAAGGAGCCAUGUGAGCCUGAGCAGAGGUCCCCACGAUCCUGUGCCCAGACUCCUGACCAUGGAAACGGUGAGAAAUAAAGACCUGUUGUUUUACGUUUCCAGCUUCAGCAGCAGAAAACAAGUGCUGAUUCCAGUCCAGGGAAAUGAGGGGCUGCGGCAACGCGCCUGAAACUGGGAGCCAGGCAGCAGGCAGAGGCUAGAGGCCUGAGGAGCAGGAGAGAAAAGCCCCGGGUGCCUGGGAGAGGCCACCGGUGGGAGAUGCUGCGACAGCGGGCGUGUUGCUGGCAGGGCCGGAGCAGAGAGAAGCAAGGGGACAGAGACCAACUGCAGAGAGCUGUCAAGCAAACAAGAGCCAUGAUCAGAUGACUCUGGAAUGGUCGGUCUCCCCAGAGGACAAGACGCCCAAGGUAGAAAUGGCUGCCAAGAAUGGCACGGAGGAGAGUGGGUGUGUGCCUGCCCAAGGUGGGAAGGUCAGCGCUUGGCCACUCAGGAGAUGCCUGCAGGGUGAGCGUGCUUUGCAGAUUUUCUCAAUAGAGGACCUUGAGGGAGUUCAAGAGCACUGUCCUUUCACCACAGAAGCUAAAAAUAGAGAUGGGAUUAGCUCACAUCUGUGCACAUGGCUUACGCACGUGACUUUGGUCUAAUGGCGUGAACUCCCAUGAAAUCCUCAUGUGACCCACAAAGUUCUUGGGAAAAUCCUACCGGUGGGAACGCUGAGGGCAGCACUGGAGGUUCAAACAUGGAGCAGCAGCACACUGACAGGACCUGGGCUGACGCACAGGCUCCCUUCCAUGAAGAAGGGCGAACGGCUUAGGGUGGGGCCGAAGGACCAACAGGUGGCACCUAGAGCCCAGAGGGAAGGCAGAGACGCUAUUCCCAGGUCUGAACACCUAGCUGAAGAACUCGGCCUGAAGUUGACUGGGAUGGAUUUCAAAACUGCUUUGGAGCAGUGAUUCUUUGUUCUUCUAACUCCCUGCUUCUGAACCAGGAUGUCCACCGUCAUCAUCCCAGGCCCGUCCCCCUGCAGGCCAGGAGUGUGGGGAGAUAGUGUGUCCCUUGAGAUUAUGGGUCCACAGUCAACCUGUGCCCAAACAGGCCCCAUUCCAUCUGAUUAGAGUAAUGAGAUUCUCAGAUUGGUGUUGAAUUGAUAACAGGAUGAGACUGGAGGACCUUGAAAUGGGGUGGGUGCAUUUUCCAAGGGAAUACAGAUACGAAUCACUGGUUGCCAGAGGGUGAAGUAUGGCAGCCAGAAUUCUAAGAUGAACUCCCAAGGCCCCUGCCUAUAAAAUAUGUCCCAAGUGGGAGUGGAGCCUGUGAAAAUGAUGUCAUUCUCUGAUUAUGUUUUGUUACAUAGCAAAAGAGAUCUGGCAGAUAUGAUUUUACUAAGCAGAUCACUUCAGGUUCAUCACAAGGGAACUUCUCCAGGUGAGCCACACGUGAGUGCGAGCCUCUUAAAAGCAGAAAGGAAGCCAAACAGUCAAAAACAAGGGAGACCUGGGGUGCCCUGGGGUGCCCUGGCAGACCUGAAGACACUGGAGGCCGUCUGGGAGGCUAGUGUAUGUUGGGAAGGCUGUCACCCACUGCCAGUCCCCACGCUCUUCUUCCUCAUAGCACAAUCCCUGGGCUACUGGUGAGUUUGCCCAGUCAACAGGAACUGCAUUUUCGGGGGUCCCUUGCAGGUAGGCACGGUCACGGAAAUGAGCUCCAGCAGGUAAAACAUGAGGGAUGCUCCUGUGGGGGGAUGAUCAGGAAAGCUCCACAGGAGGACAGAGUUUGCAGGAACACCUCUGCCUUGCCCUUCCUUCCUGCUCUAAAUGAGGUGGGGUGCCAGGGGCCCCCUCAGCCAUUCUGUACCUUGAAUGACUCUGAGAACAGAAUGAGGUGGCAGACAAAAGUGGAAACAACUUGGAGCCCUCAUGACCAGACAAGCCAGCCCUGAGCUUAUUAUCCGUUAUGUGGAAGGAAAUAAAACUGCACUGUGUUCAAGCUAAAUCCUGGCCAAAUGCAAUUGCUAACUUGAUAAAAUCGAUUAUUUCACGAUAUCACUUUGGUAUUGAUGUUGGUAUUGAAGGGUAAGGUGACUGCACAGGGCAUAUUUCACAAGUAUGAAAGCAUUUAUAACUUAAACUAAUAAUAAAAUGAAUACCUUUGUACCCACCAUUCAACCUAAAAAUAAUGAAUCAUUCCAUUAUGUACAAUUUUCCAUCUCUUACCCUACCAAGGAGAACCCCUAUUUUGGAUUCUUUGUUUAACAGUCCCUUAUUUUUAAUUUAUAGUUAUUCCACACAUUUCUGCAACUUUGAAUUAUACUGCUUGACUUUACUAGUUUUAAAAUCUUAUAUAAAUUAUACUACACUUGA